RNAcentral lists this long non-coding RNA (2345 nucleotides) under Homo sapiens (human). RNAcentral describes it as "HSALNT0071710". The record is from RNAcentral. Lineage: Eukaryota; Metazoa; Chordata; Mammalia; Primates; Hominidae.
UUGGGAUUAGCAUUUAGUUAUGUGGCUGCUGAAAAUACAUGUCCAUUUCACACGUUAAGUGGGACCGUGUAAAUAUUUAACUUUAUUGCUCUCUUAGAGUUACAUAUUUCUUAGGACAAUACGAAGCUAUUAAGUAAAAACAAAUUAAGUUGGAGCUUUCAAUAACAAACAAUGAAACAGUUUUUUAGUUAAAUAGUUUAAGCAUAUGGGAAAUUGUUUUGCAGAAAUUUCUUAGAUAUUGGGUUUUUUAUUUACAAAAAAAAGGUCUUGCCAGACUUAAUCUUUUUUUUAACUCUAGUUGUUUUUUAGGAGUGUUGUUUCAAUUGUAUAUAUAUCCUGAGCAAUUACAGGAAAAUGUCACUUAGAAACACAGCAAAAAUGAGAUAUAGUGAUUAUAAUCAGAUGAUAAAAAUUAUGACAUGUUUACUGCUAAUAACUUUCCCAGAACCACACCUUUUAAUAUUAGUUUUUGUUAAAAUUUAGAGGAAUUUCAUUACGUCAUAACUGCAUAAAGUUCUGCUGCAGCAGCAACCUUUGCUGGUCCCCCAAGGGUCAAGUUUCUCUCAUUAUCCAGCUGUUCUUUGAUAGCAUUAAUAUUUUAAGGAGUGAUUUGUUGGCACUUACCUCCCAUUAAUUACAUUCUCCAUGCCACAGUGGGAUUCUUUUUCCUGGAGACACCAGCUAUAAUUAAUUCCCUCAUUCAAAGCUCCUGUCUACUUGACUUAUUUAGAGGGCAUUUUACCCAAAUUUAGUUGGAUGAUGUUUACUAAUGGAAAGUAACCAAACCUCCAAAUUACUUGAUCCUUCGUAGAUCUGACUUGUGUGAACAGUAAACAACUGUGCACCAUGCUUCAGAUCUAGGUCCUCAUCCUAAGCACCUUUAAAACCAUUACAACAAUCAGCUUCAGGAGUUUGCCUGGGCGAGGGGUUGGGGGGAGGCAGUGAUAUGUUUGGUUUCUUGUCAUAGAAGAUCUCUGCAAACUUUCCAUUGUCAAAUUUUAACUUCAAAACUGAUGCCCUGAGAAUCCUUUUCACCAACAGAAAGAGAAUAUUCACCUCUUUUUAGAUAUAUAAACAUCCAAAGUUUUUGUUAUUCUGUUACUAGUUUAAUAGUAAAGGAAGAUGAAAAAGUUCUCAUAGACACCCCUGAAAGACUCUAGGGGGAAGACAUAGAGAUAGAAAAUAAAGUCCACAAUAUCUGGGGUAUUAUGAAGAGGUUUUGGAAAUUCUUUAUUGUUUCUUAUCUCAGUAACACAAAUUCCUUAUUUUGGUCAAGAACAUAAUCAUAAGAGAUCAUUUCCCCAGCCUACAUACAUUCUCUUGUGGCCCUGCCUCAAGGAAACUCUGUAGGAAGUGAGUUAAUUGACAUGAUGUCUGGACUAUGCUUUAAUAAACACCAGCAAGAAAGAAAGAGAGGAGAGAAAGGCAGAAAGAAAGGGAAAGAAAAGAGGGAGGGUAGGAGGAAAAAGAAAAGAUAGGUGAGCAAUAGGGAUGAGAAGAUGGGCUAGGCAGAACUGAAACACAACUGGCAACAUGUAGAUAACUGUAGCUGGCUGAAGGGAACUUAUAAAAUCGAAAUGCAACUCUUUUUUUCUUUUCUUUUCCUUUUGUUUGAGACGGAGUCUCACUCUGUUGCCCAGGCUGGAGUGCAAUGGCAUGAUCUCGGCUCACUGCAACCCCCAUUUCCUGGGUUCAAGCAAUUCUCCUGCCUCAGCCUCCCAAGUAACUGGGACUACAGGCACCCACCACCAUGCCCGGCUAAUUUUUGUAUUUUUAGUAGAGAUGGGGUUUCACCAUGUUGGCCAGGCUGGUCUCGAACUUCUGACCUCAGGUGAUCCGCCCACCUCAGCUUCCCAAAGUGCUGGGAUUACAGGCGUGAGCCACUGCGCCCAGCCGAUGCAUUUAAUAUUCUUAGGACAUAUUUGCUGACCAUAUUUUUAAACUUUGUUCUGGCCAGACAUGGUGGCUCAUGCCUAUAAUCCCAGCACUUUGGGAGGGCGAGGAGGGAGGAUCCCUUGAGCUCAGGAGUUCAAGACCAGCCUGGGCAACAUGGUGAGACCCUAUCUCUACUAAUAAAAAUAUAAUUAGCUGGGCAUGGCGGCACAUGUCUGUAGGCCCAGCUACUGGGGUAGCUGAGGUGGCAGGAUCACUUGAACCCAAGAGGUGGAAGCUGCAGUGUGCAGCGGUGGCACCACUGCGCUCCAGCUUGGGUGAACAGUGAUGCCGUGUCUCAAAAAAAAUAAAAAAGAAAAAAAUUGUUCUGUUGACUUAUCUUUUUUAUAUUCUUUGGAGCUGAGUGAAUGAUUUGAGAAAACCAAAAGCAGGGAGGUGAAGGGCCACAUGGA